Small nuclear RNA from Phodopus roborovskii (desert hamster), 107 nucleotides. The record is from RefSeq and is a predicted model, not a curated record. Lineage: Eukaryota; Metazoa; Chordata; Mammalia; Rodentia; Cricetidae.
GAGCUCAUUACAGCAGCUCAUAUACUAAUAUUGGAACGGUAUAGAAAAAGAUUAGCAUGGCCCUGCACAGGCUUGACAUACAAACUCAUGAAGCAUUAUGUGGUGUG